Molecule: ribosomal RNA, 155 nt
Filed under: Salix viminalis (osier)
Lineage: Eukaryota; Viridiplantae; Streptophyta; Magnoliopsida; Malpighiales; Salicaceae
Rfam family: 5.8S ribosomal RNA
About the family: 5.8S ribosomal RNA (5.8S rRNA) is a component of the large subunit of the eukaryotic ribosome. It is transcribed by RNA polymerase I as part of the 45S precursor that also contains 18S and 28S rRNA. Functionally, it is thought that 5.8S rRNA may be involved in ribosome translocation.
Source: RNAcentral
GACUCUCGGCAACGGAUAUCUCAGCUCUCGCAUCGAUGAAGAACGUAGCGAAAUGCGAUACUUGGUGUGAAUUGCAGAAUCCCGUGAACCAUCGAGUCUUUGAACGCAAGUUGCGCCGAGGCCUCCUGGUCGAGGGCACGUCUGCCUGGGUGUCA